Molecule: ribosomal RNA, 450 nt
Filed under: uncultured bacterium
Lineage: Bacteria
Description: partial 16S ribosomal RNA
Rfam family: Bacterial small subunit ribosomal RNA
Source: RNAcentral
GUGGGGAAUUUUGGACAAUGGGCGCAAGCCUGAUCCAGCAAUGCCGCGUGCAGGAAGAAGGCCUUCGGGUUGUAAACUGCUUUUGUACGGAACGAAACGGUCCUGGUUAAUACCCGGGGCUAAUGACGGUACCGUAAGAAUAAGCACCGGCUAACUACGUGCCAGCAGCCGCGGUAAUACGUAGGGUGCAAGCGUUAAUCGGAAUUACUGGGCGUAAAGCGUGCGCAGGCGGUGCUGUAAGACAGGCGUGAAAUCCCCGGGCGUAACCUGGGAAUUGCGCUUGUGCCUGCAGUGCUGGAGUGCGGCAGAGGGGGAUGGAAUUCCGCGUGUAGCAGUGAAAUGCGUAGAUAUGCGGAGGAACACCGAUGGCGAAGGCAAUCCCCUGGGCCUGCACUGACGCUCAUGCACGAAAGCGUGGGGAGCAACCAGGAUUAGAAACCCUAGUAGUCC